GAAGAUACUACACUCCCUGUACUCCUUCUGGGUCCUAACCAGCGCCACCUGCAGCCCCGUCGUCUCCUCCGUAACUCCUCUGGGACCACAGGCCUGUUUCCGGGCAGCAGCAGAGGCUUACACAGCGCAAUAAGUUGUUCACGUGCGUAAACAAUGCCGCUACUCCGUUCGGCGAUGUUCUCCGUAACAAAGAAUAUAAAAAGUAGCAGAAGAACGCAGAGAACAGCGACAGAACCACAUCCAGCCAUUGUAGAAAGCUUAACUGAUGAUCUAUGGGUUCUUUAAGCACGGAUCCUUAAUCGGUUACAGCAAAUAUACACAGAUUAACACACACGACGGGAGCUGCGUCUGCAAGCAGCCAGCUGUGCCGGCGCCAAAAAA
Molecule: long non-coding RNA, 381 nt
Organism: Xiphophorus couchianus (Monterrey platyfish)
Lineage: Eukaryota; Metazoa; Chordata; Actinopteri; Cyprinodontiformes; Poeciliidae
Exons: 2
Source: RefSeq, a predicted model, not a curated record